GAACUCUAGAAUCCAUAUAUUUAACACAUGCUAGAAUCUCUAGGGUUUAAGUUCAUAAUAUUAGGUUAGGCUCGUUUAAUGUAAUAUUUACAUCAGUACCCAAUAUUAAAGAAAACAAGAAAUAUGUAUAAUAUAUUUGACUCAAAAUCGAAAAAGUCUACACGUCAGUACUUGCCCGAGGGAGAGCCGCCCCCCAAAAAGCUAGUAACCGAAGGGGACAUUGUGGUGAGAGAAUUAGCAAAGAACCAGUUAAAAACAGACAUUUCCUUAACAGAACAAUUAGCUAAAAAUAAGGAAUUUACUGCCCCAGAAACAUUCAGUGAGGUAACUGCACAUAUCAGGGGCCAAACUGAUUUGGAAGAGUUCAAAAGUGCCGUUGUUCAAAUUGAUAAAACUAAUGAGCUGAUAAGCAAAGGGCUUACCCAACAAGAUAUUAAGUUAUAUGAAGAAUUCACCACAUUGGGAUCUGAACUAUUUUGGCAGCAGGACAGGGACAUCUCGAGAGAUGUUUUAAAAGAACGAAUUGAGGAAAUUCUUAAAAUUGCUUGUGCUCCUGUCGAAAAAAGAAAAUGCAAAGUUCAAUAUUUAAUCUCUCGUCACCAACAAGAGUACCUAAAUGCACUAAAACCACAAAGUAUUGAAAACAAACUUUUAAAAUUUGCCACAGAAAAUAAAUCUUGCCGUGUCCAUCUGCCAGGGCCAAUGGAUUAUUUGCCAGACCUCGACAAGAAACUUCAGGAAGAAAUUCAGGAUUAUUCACAGUUAGAUUUGAAAAAAAUGAGAAAGAAAGCAAGAUCCUUAGGGAAACAGAUACAGGAGUUGGAUAAUUGUAAACCAAAACCAGACGAUAAGCAAUCCAAAGCUUCCCUAAACAGACAGUCUUUAUGGGAUGUUAAGGAAGUACCUCAGGAAAUCAUUACAGUUAAACAAGAGGAAAAAGUGUACUCUUGUAAGCCCCAAAAUUGGUACUGCAUCAAAGACGGUGAAAUAGUGAAACUUAACAAAGAUCACACCAUCCCAAAAUCUAAACUAACCUUAGAAGAAAUCAAGGGAAUACCUAAAUUUGCCAACUAUACCACCGGAGCACCAUCAAAUAAGCUAUUUUUAAAAAACUUAGCUGAUACAGUGACACCGGAAUUACUACAGACCCUGCUUAAGCAUUUUGAGGCCCAAAAUAUGGAAAUAAAAAUUAUGGGAGGUAGGAUGAAGGGGCAAGGGUUUAUCAAGUUCAGAGAUGAAGCUCAAGCAACUGAGGCCCUGGGAAUUCUUAACGGGGUAUUGGUCAAAGAGAGACCUAUAAUAGCUCAAUAUGGAAAGAAACCUUGAUGGAAUUUUAUGAGGAAAAGAAAAUGGUAAAUGUCAACGCAGAGCAAUGGAGGUAAUAAACGAAAGAAUGCUUGAGGCAGGACGAUUGAAAACAGAAAAAUUAAAACACAAAGAGGCCGAAGGUGAAUCGUAUUCAAGCACGAGAGAAAUUUGGCCGCUUACCUUGGUAGCUCACUGCAUAUGACCGACGCUGGCCAUGCUGCCGCUAAUAUGCACCGAACUGCCCAAGGUGGAGGACAUGUCCUGGAAACUGAACUGGGG
Anthonomus grandis grandis is the source of this 1587-nucleotide RNA transcript. It is a transcript of the gene named RNA-binding protein 41-like, with no coding region annotated. Lineage: Eukaryota; Metazoa; Arthropoda; Insecta; Coleoptera; Curculionidae. The transcript is spliced from 6 exons. The record is from RefSeq and is a predicted model, not a curated record.